AGCUUGCUAGGUGGAUUAGUGGCGCACGGGUGAAUAACACGUGGGAAUCUACCCUUGAGUGCGGAAUAGCCCCUGGAAACGGGGAGUAAUACCGCAUAAUGUCUUCGGACCAAAGAUUUAUCGCUCAAGGAUGAGCCCGCGGUGCAUUAGGUAGUUGGUAGGGUAAUGGCCUACCAAGCCGACGAUGCAUAGCUGGUUUGAGAGGAUGAUCAGCCACACUGGAACUGAGACACGGUCCAGACUCCUACGGGAGGCAGCAGUGGGGAAUAUUGGACAAUGGGGGAAACCCUGAUCCAACCAUGCCGCGUGAGUGAAGAAGGCCUUAGGGUUGUAAAGCUCUUUCAGUAGUGAGGAGACUGACGGUAACUACAGAAGAAGCCCCGGCUAACUUCGUGCCAGCAGCCGCGGUAAUACGAAGGGGGCUAGCGUUGUUCGGAAUCACUGGGCGUAAAGCGCGCGUAGGCGGCCUGUCAAGUUGGGGGUGAAAGCCCAGGGCUCAACCCUGGAACUGCCUCCAAAACUGUCAGGCUAUAGUUCGGUAGGGGAUGGCGGAAUUCCUAGUGUAGAGGUGAAAUUCGUAGAUAUUAGGAGGAACACCAGUGGCGAAGGCGGCCAUCUGGCCCGAUACUGACGCUGAGGCGCGAAAGCGUGGGGAGCAAACAGGAUUAGAUACCCUGGUAGUCCACGCUGUAAACGAUGAGUGCUAGUUGUUGGAACCUCGAGUUUCAGUGACGUAGUUAACGCGUUAAGCACUCCGCCUGGGGAGUACGGUCGCAAGAUUAAAACUCAAAGGAAUUGACGGGGACCCGCACAAGCGGUGGAGCAUGUGGUUUAAUUCGAGGCAACGCGAAGAACCUUACCAGCUCUUGACAUCCUUCUCGCGGAUUUGGGAGACCAUUUCCUUCAGUUCGGCUGGAGAAGUGACAGGUGCUGCAUGGCAGUCGUCAGCUCGUGUCGUGAGAUGUUCGGUUAAGUCCGGCAACGAGCGCAACCCUCGCCUUUAGUUGCCAGCAUUUCGGAUGGGAACUCUAAAGGAACCGCCGGUGACAAACCGGAGGAAGGUGGGGAUGACGUCAAGUCGUCAUGGCCCUUACGGGCUGGGCUACACACGUGCUACAAUGGCGGUGACAAUGGGCAGCAAACCCGCGAGGGUGAGCAAAUCUCAAAAAACCGUCUCAGUUCGGAUUGUUCUCUGCAACUCGAGAGCAUGAAGUUGGAAUCGCUAGUAAUCGCGUAUCAGCAUGACGCGGUGAAUACGUUCCCGGGUCUUGUACACACCGCCCGUCACACCAUGGGAGUGGAUUCUACCCGAAGACAGUGAGCUAAC
RNAcentral lists this ribosomal RNA (1327 nucleotides) under uncultured organism. RNAcentral's name for it is "16S ribosomal RNA". It matches the Rfam family "Bacterial small subunit ribosomal RNA", at positions 77 to 1439 of the family's 1533-position model. The record is from RNAcentral.